RNAcentral lists this ribosomal RNA (253 nucleotides) under uncultured bacterium. RNAcentral's name for it is "partial 16S ribosomal RNA". It matches the Rfam family "Bacterial small subunit ribosomal RNA", at positions 524 to 776 of the family's 1533-position model. The record is from RNAcentral.
GACAGAGGAUGCAAGCGUUAUCCGGAAUUACUGGGCGUAAAGCGCGUGUAGGUGGUGGGACAAGUCUGCUGUGAAAGCGCCUGGCUUAACCGGGCGAGGUCGGCGGAAACUGUCCGACUAGAGGACGGUAGAGGGGGGUGGAAUUCCCGGUGUAGUGGUGAAAUGCGUAGAGAUCGGGAGGAACACCUGUGGCGAAGGCGGCCCCCUGGGCCGGCCCUGACACUGAGACGCGAAGGCGUGGGGAGCGAACGGG